This 272-nucleotide ribosomal RNA is filed under the name uncultured bacterium. Its description in RNAcentral is "partial 16S ribosomal RNA". It matches the Rfam family "Bacterial small subunit ribosomal RNA", at positions 525 to 796 of the family's 1533-position model. The record is from RNAcentral.
ACGGAGGGUGCAAGCGUUAAUCGGAAUUACUGGGCGUAAAGCGCGCGUAGGCGGACUAUUAAGUCAGAGGUGAAACCCGGGGCUCAACCCCGGAACUGCCUUUGAUACUGGUAGUCUUGAGUUCGAGAGAGGUAAGUGGAAUUCCGAGUGUAGAGGUGAAAUUCGUAGAUAUUCGGAGGAACACCAGUGGCGAAGGCGGCUUACUGGCUCGAUACUGACGCUGAGGUGCGAAAGUGUGGGGGAGCAAAACGGAUUAGAUACCCCCGUAGUCC